RNAcentral lists this ribosomal RNA (408 nucleotides) under uncultured bacterium. Its description in RNAcentral is "partial 16S ribosomal RNA". It matches the Rfam family "Bacterial small subunit ribosomal RNA", at positions 28 to 526 of the family's 1533-position model. The record is from RNAcentral.
GACGAACGCUGGCGGCGUGCCUAAUACAUGCAAGUCGAGCGGAGCGGCGGAUGGGUGAGUAACGCGUGGGUAACCUGCCCUUAAGUUUGGGAUACCAGUUGGAACCAGAUGCUAAUACCGGAUACUAAAGGAUGGGCUUGCGAUGCGUUAGCGAGUUGGUAAGGUAACGGCUUACCAAGGCGAUGAUGCCUAGCCGGGUUGAGAGACUGAUCGGCCACAUUGGGACUGAGACACGGUCCAAACUCCUACGGGAGGCAGCAGUAGGGAAUAUUCCACAAUGGGCGAAAGCCUGAUGCAGCAACGCCGCGUGAGUGAAGAAGGUUUUCGGAUCGUAAAGCUCUGUUGUUGGUGAGGCGGUAAUCAACCAGAAAGUCACGGCUAACUACGUGCCAGCAGCCGCGGUAAUAC